RNAcentral lists this ribosomal RNA (740 nucleotides) under Lactobacillus sp. RNAcentral describes it as "bacterial SSU rRNA". It matches the Rfam family "Bacterial small subunit ribosomal RNA", at positions 49 to 755 of the family's 1533-position model. The record is from RNAcentral. Lineage: Bacteria; Bacillati; Bacillota; Bacilli; Lactobacillales; Lactobacillaceae.
UAAUACAUGCAAGUCGAACGAACCAUCCUGAAGAUUGAAGCUUGCUUCAUGAUUCAGAUUUUGGUGAGUGGCGGACGGGUGAGUAACACGUGGGUAACCUGCCCAAAAGUGGGGGAUAACAUUUGGAAACAAGUGCUAAUACCGCAUAACAACUACUUUCACAUGAUCGUAGCUUGAAAGAUGGCUCUGCUAUCGCUUUUGGAUGGACCCGCGGCGUAUUAGCUAGUUGGUGAGGUAAUAGCUCACCAAGGCAAUGAUACGUAGCCGACCUGAGAGGGUAAUCGGCCACAUUGGGACUGAGACACGGCCCAAACUCCUACGGGAGGCAGCAGUAGGGAAUCUUCCACAAUGGGCGAAAGCCUGAUGGAGCAAUGCCGCGUGAGUGAAGAAGGUUUUCGGAUCGUAAAACUCUGUUGUUGAAGAAGAACAUGCGUGAGAGUAACUGUUCACGUACUGACGGUAUUCAACCAGAAAGCCACGGCUAACUACGUGCCAGCAGCCGCGGUAAUACGUAGGUGGCAAGCGUUGUCCGGAUUUAUUGGGCGUAAAGAGAAUGUAGGCGGUUUAUUAAGUUUGAAGUGAAAGCCCUCGGCUCAACCGAGGAAGUGCUUCGAAAACUGGUAAACUUGAGUGCAGAAGAGGAAAGUGGAACUCCAUGUGUAGCGGUGGAAUGCGUAGAUAUAUGGAAGAACACCAGUGGCGAAGGCGGCUUUCUGGUCUGUAACUGACGCUGAGAUUCG